Molecule: ribosomal RNA, 845 nt
Filed under: uncultured Chloroflexota bacterium
Lineage: Bacteria; Bacillati; Chloroflexota
Description: bacterial SSU rRNA
Rfam family: Bacterial small subunit ribosomal RNA
Source: RNAcentral
GAUCCUGGCUCAGGAUGAACGUUGGCGGCGUGCCUAAUACAUGCAAGUCGAACGAAGACUGUAGUAAUACUGUCUUAGUGGCGAACGGGUGAGUAACGCGUGGGUGACCUGCCCCGAAGUGUGGGAUAACAGUCCGAAAGGAUUGCUAAUACUGCAUAAUAUCCAAGAGAUUAGACGCUUUUGGAUUAAAGGAGUAAUUCGCUUCGGGAGGGGCCCGCGUCCCAUCAGCUAGUUGGUAAGGUAAUGGCUUACCAAGGCGAUGACGGGUAGGGGGCCUGAGGGGGUGGCCCCCCACAAUGGAACUGAAACACGGUCCAUACACCUACGGGUGGCAGCAGUAGGGAAUAUUAGUAAUGGGCGAAAGCCUGAACUAGCAACGUCGCGUGUGCGAAGAAGGCCUUCGGGUCGUAAAGCACUUUUUGAGAGGAUGAGGAAGGACGGUACUCUCAGAAUAAGUCUCGGCUAACUACGUGCCAGCAGCCGCGGUAACACGUAGGAGGCAAACGUUAUCCGGAUUUACUGGGCGUAAAGCGCGUGUAGGUGGUUUGGUAAGUAGGGCGUGAAAGCUCCUGGCUCAACUGGGAGAGGACGUUCUAAACUGCCAAGCUUGAGGAUGGUAGAGGGAGGUGGAAUUCCGGGUGUAGCGGUGGAAUGCGCAGAUAUCCGGAGGAACACCAGUGGCGAAGGCGGCCUCCUGGACCACUCCUGACACUCAGACGCGAAAGCUAGGGUAGCAAACGGGAUUAGAGACCCCGGUAGUCCUAGCCCUAAACGAUGUAGACUUGGUGUCGGUGGUUUAAUAGCCAUCGGUGUCGUAGCUAACGCGAUAAGUGUACCGCCUGGGG